AUGAACGCUGGCGGCGUGCCUAAUACCUGCCAGUCGAGCGAACAGACGAGGAGCUUGCUCCUUCGACGUUAGCGGCGGACGGGUGAGUAACACGUAGGUAACCUACCUAUAAGACUGGGAUAACUUCGGGAAACCGGAGCUAAUACCGGAUAAUAUUUCGAACCGCAUGGUUCGAUAGUGAAAGAUGGCUUUGCUAUCACUUAUAGAUGGACCUGCGCCGUAUUAGCUAGUUGGUAAGGUAACGGCUUACCAAGGCAACGAUACGUAGCCGACCUGAGAGGGUGAUCGGCCACACUGGAACUGAGACACGGUCCAGACUCCUACGGGAGGCAGCAGUAGGGAAUCUUCCGCAAUGGGCGAAAGCCUGACGGAGCAACGCCGCGUGAGUGAUGAAGGUCUUCGGAUCGUAAAACUCUGUUAUUAGGGAAGAACAAACGUGUAAGUAACUGUGCACGUCUUGACGGUACCUAAUCAGAAAGCCACGGCUAACUACGUG
Molecule: ribosomal RNA, 496 nt
Filed under: uncultured bacterium
Lineage: Bacteria
Description: partial 16S ribosomal RNA
Rfam family: Bacterial small subunit ribosomal RNA
Source: RNAcentral